AGCCUUCAGCAAACUAAAGCAAGUAUUGAAGGUGAUGCCUGCCCGGUGACUCAACGUUUAACGGCCGCGGUAUCCUAACCGUGCAAAGGUAGCGCAAUCAAUUGUCCCAUAAAUCGAGACUAGUAUGAAUGGCUAAACGAGGUCUUAACUGUCUCUUGCAGGCAAUCGGUGAAAUUGAUCUCCCUGUGCAAAAGCAGGGAUAAACCCAUAAGACGAGAAGACCCUGUGGAACUUUAAAAACAGCAGCCACCCCAAAUAGCAUAACCCCCCAUUGGGCUCACUCACACAUAAGCCACUGGCCUGCAUUUUUUCGGUUGGGGCGACCUUGGAGAAAAGCAAAUCCUCCAAAGAUUAGACCACACCUCUAGACCAAGAGCAACCUCUCAACGUGCGAAUAGCAACCAGACCCAAUAUAAUUGAUCAAUGGACCAAGCUACCCCAGGGAUAACAGCGCAAUCUCCUUUAAGAGUCCAUAUCGACAAGGAGGUUUACGACCUCGAUGUUGGAUCAGGACAUCCUAGUGGUGCAGAAGCUACUAAGGGUUCGUUUGUUCAACGAUUAACAGUCCU
This 569-nucleotide ribosomal RNA is filed under the name Oenanthe oenanthe (Northern wheatear). Its description in RNAcentral is "partial 16S ribosomal RNA". It matches the Rfam family "Bacterial large subunit ribosomal RNA", at positions 1817 to 2597 of the family's 2925-position model. Lineage: Eukaryota; Metazoa; Chordata; Aves; Passeriformes; Muscicapidae. The record is from RNAcentral.